GACCUUACCUGGCAGGGAAGACAUCAUAAUCACAAAGUUGGUUUUCCCGGGCAAGGCUUAUCCAUUGCCUCUGGAUGUGUUGGUCCCUCUGAUUCCCCAGAUGCAGGAAAACUGACUGCAUGGUUUGUGGUAGUGGGGAUUGCAUUCAUGUUCCCGU
Small nuclear RNA from Microtus ochrogaster (prairie vole), 157 nucleotides. Its record names the gene U1. It matches the Rfam family "U1 spliceosomal RNA". Rfam says of the family: U1 is a small nuclear RNA (snRNA) component of the spliceosome (involved in pre-mRNA splicing). Its 5' end forms complementary base pairs with the 5' splice junction, thus defining the 5' donor site of an intron. There are significant differences in sequence and secondary structure between metazoan and yeast U1 snRNAs, the latter being much longer (568 nucleotides as compared to 164 nucleotides in human). Lineage: Eukaryota; Metazoa; Chordata; Mammalia; Rodentia; Cricetidae. The record is from Ensembl.